RNAcentral lists this signal recognition particle RNA (276 nucleotides) under Carlito syrichta (Philippine tarsier). RNAcentral describes it as "Metazoan signal recognition particle RNA (ENSTSYG00000032228.1)". The stretch from base 32 to 276 matches the Rfam family "Metazoan signal recognition particle RNA". Rfam says of the family: The signal recognition particle (SRP) is a universally conserved ribonucleoprotein. It is involved in the co-translational targeting of proteins to membranes. The record is from Rfam by way of RNAcentral. Lineage: Eukaryota; Metazoa; Chordata; Mammalia; Primates; Tarsiidae.
UCCAUCUCUUAUAAAAAGAUAAGAUCUGUCAGCUACUUAGGAGGCUGAGAUGGGAGGAUCACUUGAGCCCAGGACUUCUGGGCUAUAGUGCUCUAAGUUCAGCAUCAAGAUGGUGACCUCCUGGGAACGGGGGACCUCCAGGUUGUCCAAACAGGUGUGAACCGGCCCAGGGUGGAAAUGGAGCAGGUCAAAACUCCUGUGCUGAUCAGUAGUGAGACCAUGACCUGUGAACAGCCACUGCACUCCAGCCUGGGCAACAUAGUGUGACCCUGUUCU